Molecule: ribosomal RNA, 944 nt
Filed under: uncultured bacterium
Lineage: Bacteria
Description: bacterial SSU rRNA
Rfam family: Bacterial small subunit ribosomal RNA
Source: RNAcentral
AGAGUUUGAUCCUGGCUCAGGACGAACGCUGGCGGCGUGCCUAAUGCAUGCAAGUCGAGCGACGCAUACGGGGCUUGCCCUGUAUGACGGAGCGGCGAACGGGUGAGUAACACGUGAGCAACCUGCCCCGAAGACCGGGAUAGCCCGAGGAAACUCGGAUUAAUACCGGAUACCUUCACACCUUCGCAUGGAGGAGUGAAGAAAGGCCUUUGUGCUUCGGGAUGGGCUCGCGACCUAUCAGCUAGUUGGUGAGGUAACAGCUCACCAAGGCAUCGACGGGUAGCUGGUCUGAGAGGACGAUCAGCCACACUGGAACUGAGACACGGUCCAGACUCCUACGGGAGGCAGCAGCAGGGAAUAUCGCACAAUGGGCGCAAGCCUGAUGCAGCAACGCCGCGUGAGGGAUGAAGGCCUUCGGGUUGUAAACCUCUUUCAGGAGGGAAGAAAUUGACGGUACCUCCAAAAGAAGCCCCGGCUAACUACGUGCCAGCAGCCGCGGUAAUACGUAGGGGGCGAGCGUUGUCCGGAUUUAUUGGGCGUAAAGGGCUCGUAGGCGGUUCAGUAAGUCGGCGGUGAAAGUCCGGGGCUCAACCCCGGAAAUGCCGUCGAUACUGCUGUGACUAGAAUCAGGUAGAGGAGAAUGGAAUUCCCGGUGUAGCGGUGGAAUGCGCAGAUAUCGGGAGGAACACCAGUAGCGAAGGCGGUUCUCUGGGCCUGUAUUGACGCUGAGGAGCGAAAGCGUGGGGAGCAAACAGGAUUAGAUACCCUGGUAGUCCACGCCGUAAACGUUGGGUACUAGGUGUGGCGAUCCGUCUAACGAUUGCCGUGCCGAAGCUAACGCAUUAAGUACCCCGCCUGGGGAGUACGGCCGCAAGGCUAAAACUCAAAGGAAUUGACGGGUCCCCGCACAGCGGCGGAACAUGCGGCUUAAUUCGAUGCAACCC